CUGGGUCAAAUCAACAUGCAGAUUUUUAGAGAGACAGAGAGAGAGAGAGCGAAAAGAAAAUGUUAGCUCUCACCAACUGAGGUACCCAACUGGAAAUGCUUGCGGCUAUAUUUCGAGGAUAACAACAAUAAACUGCCACGGAUCUCUCUGGGGUUUUCGGUGUUUAAACUUAUGAAAUUGUUCUUCUUUUGACCAA
Molecule: long non-coding RNA, 196 nt
Organism: Populus trichocarpa (black cottonwood)
Lineage: Eukaryota; Viridiplantae; Streptophyta; Magnoliopsida; Malpighiales; Salicaceae
Exons: 2
Source: RefSeq, a predicted model, not a curated record